ACUACGGGAGGCAGCAGUGGGGAAUAUUGCACAAUGGGGGGAACCCUGAUGCAGCGACGCCGCGUGGGUGAAGGAGCACCUCGGUGCGUAAAGCCCUAUCGGCAGGGAAGAAAAGCGAACAGGUUCGCCUGGACGGUACCUGACUAAGAAGCCCCGGCUAACUACGUGCCAGCAGCCGCGGUAAUACGUAGGGGGCAAGCGUUAUCCGGAUUCACCGGGUGUAAAGGGAGCGUAGACGGCGGCGCAAGUCUGGAGUGAAAGCCCGGGGCCCAACCCCGGGACUGCUCUGGAAACUGCGGCGCUGGAGUACGGGAGGGGCAGGCGGAAUUCCUGGUGUAGCGGUGAAAUGCGUAGAUAUCAGGAGGAACACCGGCGGCGAAGGCGGCCUGCUGGACCGUGACUGACGUUGAGGCUCGAGAGCGUGGGGAGCAAACAGGAUUAGAUACCCUGGUAGUC
RNAcentral lists this ribosomal RNA (456 nucleotides) under uncultured bacterium. RNAcentral's name for it is "partial 16S ribosomal RNA". It matches the Rfam family "Bacterial small subunit ribosomal RNA", at positions 338 to 795 of the family's 1533-position model. The record is from RNAcentral.